GGUUGAGUGGCAGCGUUGUCCGGAUUUAUUGGGCGUAAGCGAGCGCAGGCGGAAUGAUAAGUCUGAUGUGAAGCCCACGGCUCAACCGUGGAACUGCAUCGGAACUGUCAUUCUUGAGUGCAGAAGAGGAGAGUGGAAUUCCAUGUGUAGCGGUGGAAUGCGUAGAUAUAUGGAAGAACACCAGUGGCGAAGGCGGCUCUCUGGUCUGCAACUGACGCUGAGGCUCGAAAGCAUGGGUAGCGAACAGGAUUAGAUACCCUGGUAGUCCAUGCCGUAAACGAUGAGCGCUAGGUGUUGGGGACUUUCCGGUCCUCAGUGCCGCAGCAAACGCAUUAAGCGCUCCGCCUGGGGAGUACGACCGCAAGGUUGAAACUCAAAGGAAUUGACGGGGGCCCGCACAAGCGGUGGAGCAUGUGGUUUAAUUCGAAGCAACGCGAAGAACCUUACCAGGUCUUGACAUCCUGUGCUACACCUAGAGAUAGGUGGUUCCCUUCGGGGACGCAGAGACAGGUGGUGCAUGGCUGUCGUCAGCUCGUGUCGUGAGAUGUUGGGUUAAGUCCCGCAACGAGCGCAACCCUUGUCUUUAGUUGCCAUCAUUAAGUUGGGCACUCUAAAGAGACUGCCGGUGACAAACCGGAGGAAGGUGGGGAUGACGUCAAGUCAUCAUGCCCCUUAUGACCUGGGCUACACACGUGCUACAAUGGGCAGUACAACGAGAAGCGAACCCGCGAGGGUAAGCGGAUCUCUUAAAGCUGUUCUCAGUUCGGACUGCAGGCUGCAACUCGCCUGCACGAAGCUGGAAUCGCUAGUAAUCGCGGAUCAGCACGCCGCGGUGAAUACGUUCCCGGGCCUUGUACACA
RNAcentral lists this ribosomal RNA (860 nucleotides) under Lactobacillus delbrueckii subsp. bulgaricus. Its description in RNAcentral is "bacterial SSU rRNA". It matches the Rfam family "Bacterial small subunit ribosomal RNA", at positions 526 to 1389 of the family's 1533-position model. The record is from RNAcentral. Lineage: Bacteria; Bacillati; Bacillota; Bacilli; Lactobacillales; Lactobacillaceae.